Molecule: long non-coding RNA, 194 nt
Organism: Dermochelys coriacea (leatherback sea turtle)
Lineage: Eukaryota; Metazoa; Chordata; Testudines; Dermochelyidae
Exons: 2
Source: RefSeq, a predicted model, not a curated record
UGUCAUAACCAAACAUAUGACUGGGUUUACUGGGAAAACGCUGUUUGGGAAAUCUUUCCAGCAAAAAUCCUCACUAAAACCUUGCACCCCCCUGCCUGGGGAAGGCUUGAUAAAAAUCCUCACCAAUUUGCAUAGGUGACCACAGACCCAAACCCUUGGAUCUUAAGAAGAAAGAAAAAAGCAUUCAAUUUCUU